CCUCUCUAACAACUCGCAACCUUGCCUUACAAUUCGUUCGACUAACUUGCUUCUUGUAAGAAGCUAUUCGUCCAACCGAACGCUUAUUAUCUGGAUACCCUUCACAAGAACAAAGAUAAACUUUUAACCGAAGAAUAUCUGAAUUGUCAAAUUUUUUAUUGGACCCCUUCCUAACACUGAAUCCAGAUAAAAUACCAUAUUGGGUGUACAAAAUAUAAAUCACAUCCAAACUAUCAUAAACAGCACCAACUUGCAAUUUAUCCUCAAUUUCAAUUCUUAGUGACUUAUCUGACUCGCUCUCCAAAUCUGAAACACUAACAUCUUCAGACAAGCUACAUUCAUUACCAUCAAAAUUAUUCUCAUUUUCUUCUUCUUCAAAGCCAUCAUCAGAAACAUUCAAGUCGAUAACCAUCGUGGAAAAAAGAAAUAUAUCCGUUUAUUUCUUAUUCACAGAUACGUAUGAAGAUGCUAGGGUUCACUGAAAAAUAUCUCCAACGAACGAUACACAACAAGAAAUUACUACACACAUUUCAUUCAAAUCAAUAAUGCAUUUCAAUUCUACCAUUAUGACAGCUAAAUCAGGACAUCAAUACCUCAUAAUGAUCUCUCCUAAAUCAAAUUACAGACCCAAAUUUAGAAACCAAAACAAAUAAUUACCAACCUCGGCCGCAGUAAGAAAUGCGAUUGCCUUCCUGACGAAAUUUGCAGAUUCGUGCUUCACCUCCAAAAAUCCUUCAAACGAUUGCCUCCAGAAUUUUUCUUCCCCGUUCGCUCGCAACAAAAAAAAAAACUUCCCCCGUUCGCUCACAGCAAAAUUCAGAAAUGUAGAGUCAAUGACAAAAAAAUACAAAAUUAUUUUCAACAAUAAAUACAUAGCUAUUCACUCUGUCCAGAAUUGUAGAAUUCAAAUAAAUCAAAUGUUGGAAAAAUAUAAACC
Molecule: long non-coding RNA, 937 nt
Filed under: Salvia miltiorrhiza (redroot sage)
Lineage: Eukaryota; Viridiplantae; Streptophyta; Magnoliopsida; Lamiales; Lamiaceae
Description: long non-coding RNA (SMIL_LNC009030)
Source: RNAcentral